UAUCUUGAUCAAGAUAGUGUGAAGCUUUUGAGAAUUUGUAGUUGUCCUCCAUUGAUGAAGUUUUGUUGAAUUUCCCUCAUUUUUUUUUGGGAAACUAGAAAUUUGAAAAUAUGGGAGAGACAACAUAUACAAAUUUUGCUUCCACACUGUUGAGUAAAAGAUUGUGAUGCAAGUCACACCUUGUAGUAGUCGAAGGUUUGGAUGAACCAUAGUCUUGAAUUUGCUUCGAAUGUUUGAGAAUUGUAGUUGCCCUCCAUUGAUGAAGCUUUUGUUAGCAUCAUAAAUUGGUUUUGCUUCACACUGUCUUGAUCAAGAGUGUGUGAAGCUUUUGAGAAUUGUGGUUGAACUCGUUUGAUGAAGCUUUUGUUGGCACCAUAAAUUGGUUUUGCUUCACACUGUCUUGAUUAAGAGUGUGUGAAGCUUUUGAGAAUUGUGGUUGCCCUCCAUUGAUGAAGCUCUUGUUGGCACAAUAAAUUGGUUUUGCUUUACACUGUCUUGAUCAAGAGUGUGUGAAGCUUUUGAGAAUUGUGGUUGAACUCAUUUGAUGAAGCUCUUGUUGGCACCAUAGAUUUUGCUUCACAUUGUCUUGAUCAAGAGUGUGUGAAGCUUUUGAGAAUUGUGGUUACCCUCCAUUAAUGAAGCUCUUGUUGGCACCAUAAAUUGGUUUUGCUUCACACUGUCUUGAUCAAGAGUGUGUGAAGCUUUUGAGAAUUAUGGUUGAACUCUUUUGAUGAAACUCUUGUUGGCACCAUAAAUUCGUUUUGCUUUACACUGUCUUGAUCAUGAGUGUGUGAAGCUUUCUACGAGUUGUAGUGUUUGCAUUGUUACAGAGGGGAAAUGUCUGAAGCAGAUGCAAGAGGGCUGAAUAACUUGAUCUUCGU
Molecule: long non-coding RNA, 881 nt
Filed under: Malus domestica (apple)
Lineage: Eukaryota; Viridiplantae; Streptophyta; Magnoliopsida; Rosales; Rosaceae
Description: long non-coding RNA (MDOM_LNC016517)
Source: RNAcentral